CAGUAGCCACGGGAAAACGUAGGGUGCAAGCGUUAAUCGGAAUUACUGGGCGUAAAGCGUGCGCAGGCGGUGUUGUAAGACUGAUGUGAAAUCCCCGGGCUUAACCUGGGAACUGCAUUUGUGACUGGCGGGCUAGAGUAUGGCAGAGGGGGGUAGAAUUCCACGUGUAGCAGUGAAAUGCGUAGAGAUGUGGAGGAAUACCGAUGGCGAAGGCAGCCCCCUGGGCCAAUACUGACGCUCAUGCACGAAAGCGUGGGGAGCGAACAGGAUUAGAUACCCCCGUAGUCCCUGUCUCUUAUAC
This 301-nucleotide ribosomal RNA is filed under the name uncultured bacterium. RNAcentral describes it as "partial 16S ribosomal RNA". It matches the Rfam family "Bacterial small subunit ribosomal RNA", at positions 509 to 807 of the family's 1533-position model. The record is from RNAcentral.